Molecule: ribosomal RNA, 752 nt
Filed under: Microbacterium sp.
Lineage: Bacteria; Bacillati; Actinomycetota; Actinomycetes; Micrococcales; Microbacteriaceae
Description: bacterial SSU rRNA
Rfam family: Bacterial small subunit ribosomal RNA
Source: RNAcentral
GUGGCGAACGGGUGAGUAACACGUGAGCAACCUGCCCCUGACUCUGGGAUAAGCGCUGGAAACGGCGUCUAAUACUGGAUAUGUGACGUGACCGCAUGGUCUGCGUCUGGAAAGAAUUUCGGUUGGGGAUGGGCUCGCGGCCUAUCAGCUUGUUGGUGAGGUAAUGGCUCACCAAGGCGUCGACGGGUAGCCGGCCUGAGAGGGUGACCGGCCACACUGGGACUGAGACACGGCCCAGACUCCUACGGGAGGCAGCAGUGGGGAAUAUUGCACAAUGGGCGGAAGCCUGAUGCAGCAACGCCGCGUGAGGGAUGACGGCCUUCGGGUUGUAAACCUCUUUUAGCAGGGAAGAAGCGAAAGUGACGGUACCUGCAGAAAAAGCGCCGGCUAACUACGUGCCAGCAGCCGCGGUAAUACGUAGGGCGCAAGCGUUAUCCGGAAUUAUUGGGCGUAAAGAGCUCGUAGGCGGUUUGUCGCGUCUGCUGUGAAAUCCGGAGGCUCAACCUCCGGCCUGCAGUGGGUACGGGCAGACUAGAGUGCGGUAGGGGAGAUUGGAAUUCCUGGUGUAGCGGUGGAAUGCGCAGAUAUCAGGAGGAACACCGAUGGCGAAGGCAGAUCUCUGGGCCGUAACUGACGCUGAGGAGCGAAAGGGUGGGGAGCAAACAGGCUUAGAUACCCUGGUAGUCCACCCCGUAAACGUUGGGAACUAGUUGUGGGGUCCAUUCCACGGAUUCCGUGACGCAGCUAACGCA